GUGAAAAUGAAACGGAUACUAACACCUCGAUAAUUGAAGAGAACUCUAUCCAAGAUUGCAAAUUGGUUAGGGAUAGAGAAAUAAAGCAAAUUAAGAAUUGCAGUUUGGUUAAUUUGCCUAAUGGUCAAAGAAUGGUACAAUGUAAGUGGAUUUCCACACUAAAAGAGGGGUUUGACUAUAUUGAGAUAUUUUCUCCUGUCAUUGAAUAUAAAACAAUAAUUAGAUUGAUUUUAGCAUUAGUUGCUCAAUUCAUUUGGGAAUGUGAACCACUAGAUGUUAAAACUGCUUUCCUAAAUUGGGAAUUGGAAGAAAAUAUCCAUACGAGUCAAUUCUUGGGCUUUGAGGUGAAGAGUGACCUUGUUUGUAAAUUGAGAAGGUUUGAUAGGUUGAUCUUUAAAGGAUGUGUGGAUGUUGACUUUGUGAGUGACAAAGAUCACAGUAAAUCCAUUAUUGCCUAUUACUUUACAUUGG
RNAcentral lists this long non-coding RNA (471 nucleotides) under Olea europaea subsp. europaea. Lineage: Eukaryota; Viridiplantae; Streptophyta; Magnoliopsida; Lamiales; Oleaceae. The record is from RNAcentral.